ACUAAACUUCAUGACUGACUGACUGAUGUACUUACUAAACUUCCUGACUGACUGACUGAUGUACUUACUAAACUUCUUGACUGACUGACUGAUGUACUUACUAAACUUCUUGACUGACUGACUGAUGUACUUACUAAACUUCCUGACUGACUGACUGAUGUACUUACUAAACUUCUUGACUGACUGACUGAUGUACUUACUAAACUUCUUGACUGACUGACUGAUGUACUUACUAAACUUCAUGACUGACUGACUGAUGUACUUACUAAACUUCUUGACUGACUGACUGAUGUACUUACUAAACUUCCUGACUGACUGACUGAUGUACUUACUAAACUUCUUGACUGACUGACUGACUGAUGUACUUACUAAACUUCAUGACUGACUGACUGAUGUACUUACUAAACUUCUUGACUGACUGACUGAUGUACUUACUAAACUUCUUGACUGACUGACUGAUGUACUUACUAAACUUCAUGACUGACUGACUGAUGUACUUACUAAACUUCUUGACUGACUGACUGAUGUACUUACUAAACUUCUUGACUGACUGACUGACUGAUGUACUUACUAAACUUCUUGACUGACUGACUGACUGAUGUACUUACUAAACUUCAUGACUGACUGACUGAUGUACUUACUAAACUUCUUGACUGACUGACUGAUGUACUUACUAAACUUCUUGACUGACUGACUGAUGUACUUACUAAACUUCUUGACUGACUGACUGAUGUACUUACUAAACUUCUUGACUGACUGAUGUACUUACUGAACUUCAUGACUGACUGACUGACCCACUAACUAAACUUCUUGACUGACUGAUGUACUAACUGAACUUCUUGACUGACUGACUGAUGCACUUACUAAACUUCUUGACUGACUGAUGCACUAACUGACCUUCCUGACUGACUGAUGUACCAACUAAACUUCCUGACUGACUUAUGUAUACUUACUGAACUUCUUGACUGACUGACUGAUCCACUAACUAAACUUGACAGACUGACUGAUGAUGUACUUACCAAACUUCUCGACUGACUAACUGAACUGCACUAACUCAAACUGCUUCUUGAAAUGGCAGAAACUGAAAUGUCUUAGUGAGGAAGAGCUUGGAAUACAGCAAUUGGGUAGCUUAGCAGAACACUGACAGACUGGCAAAUUGAUUGACUGACUGGCCGAUUGAUUAAGUGAGCAGACUGACUGAACCUUGUGUGUGUAUCCCUGGCCUAUCCCAUCACCCUACUCCAUCCCCCUGAGCAAGCCCCCUUCACUUCAAUCUCUUCAGGGCACACUAGACCACUGCCUUCACAAGCACUAGCAGCAGAAACAUUGUAAAAGAAGUGUUAGUUAUAGAAGUAGCAUAGUCUCGGCAAAUAUAUAACAACACAGAUAUGAUACAUUAUUAUUUUUUUUUUUUUACAACAGACAGCUCAAGGGCACUAAAAAGGAAACAAUAAUAAAAAAAGACCACUACUCGCUGCUCCUAUAAAUAAUCCAAAGAGGGGUCAAUUUCAGGAGGAGAGAUGACCUGAUACUCUUCCCAGCAUUCUACUUUUACUUUUUUUUCUUCUUCAAGCAACCAUCUUUACUAUAUUUGUUCCCCUUUUUAACCCGGUAGCAGCGACGGGACAAAUUUGUGGCUUUACCAUGUAGCAGCGACGGGCCAAAUUUGUGGCUUUACCGUGUAGCAGCAACGGGCCAAAUUUGUGGCUUUACUGUGUAGCAGCGACGGGCCAAAUUUGUGCCAUGAUUUUAACCCCCCAAAAUAGAUGAUACAUAAACUGAUCACAAAUGCUUUGAUAUAUAUUAUGAAAUGGUUUGUGUGAGGGGUGAUUUUUUUCUCAUUUUUCUCGCUAAGAGGGACCAUUAAGAAUCAUGAUCCCCACAGCUACCGGGUUAAGCAUUAAAAAAAUAAAUCUACCUUUUUUUCUUACGUUACACUCUUGAAAAAAUACACCCUUCGGAAAGUCACAGUCCAUACGAGUCAACAAUUAGCGCUAUUACACCUCAGGGAUUGUUUUCUUAUGUAAGUCUUGACGCGAGAAAGAAGGAAAACGAAUAAAAUGAGGUGAUGUGAGUGUAAUGUUAAUGAGUUGGUCCUUGUGUGAGAAAAAUGGACAAAGGACAGAAUGAGGUGAUCUUGCAAGUGAAUGUAAUGUUCGUGAGUCAGUCUUGAUGUGAGAAAGAAGGAAAACGAAUAAAAUGAGGUGAUGUGAGUGACUGUAAUGUUAAUGAGUUGGUCCUGGUGUGAGAAAAAUGGACAAAGGACAGAAUGAGGUGAUCUUGCAAGUGAAUGUAAUGUUCAUGAGCUAGUCUUGAUGUGAGAAAGUCAACCAGAUAGAGUGAGGUGAUUGUGUGAGAGUGUAGAGAAGUGAGCUAAUUCUUGAGCAUGAGAAAGAAGGAAACCAAAUAAAAUGAGGUGAUCGUGUGAGUGAGUGUAGAAAAGCGAGUUAGUUGACGUGAGAAAGAGGGAAACAGAACAAAAUUAGGUGAUCUUGCAAAUGAAUGUAAUGUUAGUUAUGAUACAGUCAAUGUGAGAAAAAAGGAGAUCAGAUAAAAUGAGGUCAUCUUUUGCGUGAGUGUAACAUUGGCGAGUCAUUCUUGGACAUGAAAAAGAAAGAAACAGGACAAAAUCAGGUUAUCUUGCGAAUAAAUGUAAUGUUAGUUAGUCAAUGAGAGAAAGAGGGAAACCAGAUAAAAUGAGGUCAUCUUUUGAGUGAGUGUAACAUUGGCGAGUCAUUCUUGGACAUGAAAAAGAAAGAAACAACAAAAUUACGUGAUCUUGCGAAUAAAUGUAAUGUUAGUUAGUCAAUGAGAGAAAGAGGAAAACCAGAUAAAAUGAGGUCAUCUUUUGAGUGAGUGUAACAUUGGCGAGUCAUUCUUGGAUGCGAAAAAGAAGGAAACUGGACAAAAUUAGGUAAUCUUGCAAAUGAAUGUUAUGUUAGUUAGUCAGUGUGAGAAAGAAGAAAACCAGAUGAAAUGAGUUGAUCUUGUGAGUGAGCGUAACUACACUGGCAAGUUAUUCUUGGACAUGAAAAAGAAAGAAACAGGACAAAAUUACAUGAUCUUGCAAAGGAAUACAGUGUUAGUCAAUUUGAGAAAGAAGGAGACGAGAUAAAAUGAGGUCAUCUUUUAAGUGAGUGUAAUGUUUGUGAAUCAAUCUUAGACGCAAAAAAGAAACGGAACAAAAUGAGGUGAUGGUGUGAGUGGGUGUAAUGUUAGUUAGUCCUGGUGCGAGAAAAAUGGAAGAAGAACAGAAUGAGGUGAUCUUGCAAGUGAAUGUAAUGUUUGUGAGUUAGGGCUGUAUUUUAAGACACCAUUGCUUCUCACAUCAACUAUUUCUAAAGGUCAAAGAGGGGAUCAAUCUGGUUUUCAUGAGUGUUUUUUAAGGUUCAUGGCACAGAAGAAGGGUCAAACUACCACCAGGGUCAUAAAACUACCCCUGGAAAGGCCUACAGCUCCUACGAAAGCCAUGUCAAAUAUGUGAACUUGGGCGACGAAAUGUUUUAAAAUACGACCCUUAGUCUUGAUGCGAGAAAGGAAACCAGAUAGAAUGAAGUGAUUGUGUGAGUAGAGAAGUGAGCUAAUUCUUGGGUACGAGAAAGAAGGAAAUCAGAUAGAGUGAGUGAGUUAGCGAGUUAAUUCUUCCUCCUGCGCUGUGAUACGAGGUUGCCAUAUUCUCCGCUCUGAUAGAAGUGUACUUAACGCCUAUAGUGAAGUGUUGUGUUAGUAUUGCCGUCGCCUGCCGCCCACUCCCUCAAGCUCUACCCUGUUGUUCUUAUUUAUUUAAUGUCCUUAUUUCUCCCUAUGCCCUAACUCUUUUUGUUCCUCGUUUUUCAGAAUUCAAAAACUUUAUCUACCUCUGCUAUGUUUGUUUUUACUUUAUAUUCAGAGUAAUGACGGCCUGUUAAACCCGGUAGCAGCGACGGGCCAAAUUUGUGGCUCUACCGUGUAGCAGCGACGGGCCAAAUUUGUGCCAUGAUAUAAACCCCCAAAAAUAGAUGAUACAUGAACUGAUCACAAAUGCUUUGAUAUAUAUUAUGAAAUGGUUUGUGUGAAUGAUGAUUUUUUCUCAUUUUUCUCGCUUAGAGGGACCAUUAAGAAACAUGAUCCCCCAUGCUAUCGGGUUAAUCUUACCAUCAACUUUUUUUUUCUUUUAUGUAUUUAUAUUUUACACGCAAGUUAUAUUCAGGGUAAUGACGGUGUGUUUAAUCUUACCAUCAUCAACUUUUUUUUCUUUUAUGUAUUUAUUGUUUACACUCAAGGAGGCAGCUCAAAAAAAAAGAAAAAAAGAGGAAACUGUAAAGCCCAUUGGUGCUGUUCCUGCAGGUAGUGGACAGUGAGAGAAUCAUUAUUUUGGGAUUAUUUAAUUGUUUGUGUAAUUUUUCAAGCAAGGACGACAAAAAUAACAUCGUCCAAGCAGUGACAACUCCAGAUAGGGGCUGAGCUUGGGGGAUCAUUAUAGUCCGUUCCAACAACCGCCAAAGGAAGGAUCAGUUCAUGGCAAGAGCUCCCUCAUAACCAGCAAAAGUAAAUAUAUAUGUUUUUUUCUGUGGCCAUAAUUUUCUAAUACCCCAGAGUAAGUAAUUAAGAGCAAACGGACAAAAACAAUGUGAAAAAAAGCCUGCAAAGUGUCAUAAGUCUAACCCCUUGACUGCGGAUUUCCUACAAGAAGACAUCACCAAGCUACAGGAAUGGAACAAAAAGUGGCUGCUACAAUUCAAUGAAGAAAAAUGUAAAGUCCUGCACCUCUGGAAGGGAAAUCCAGCAUACCAAUACUAGAUGGGAAACACUCCACUAUCCAUCACAGAGGCAGAGAAAGACCUGGGGCUAUAUGUUACCAGGCUACCAGUGAAGGCCAAAUCCGUGCCAAUCGCAGCGGACAGGUUAAGUGAAUGCAGGAUACAGCAAAGAGAAGCUAUAGCUGCGUGUGACUGAUUAUAAAAGAAAAAUUAACAACACAACUACAUACUUCAUUCCAUCACGAUAUGCAUGUCAGGAGGUAAAGGAAGGAAGGUUUUGCCAUUGGGUGAUCAUUGCUUUCGUGGGUCGCUGGAACGGACUAGGGUUGGCCGCCAGUGACUAUGGUAGUGUGUGUUGUAGUGGCGUAGAGGCCCAGUGAGGUGUGUGGUGAGGAGGAGGAGGAGGAGGUGAUGUGUGUAGUGAGGAGGAGGAGAAGGAACAGCAGCAGUAUUAGAACAGUAGACAAUAAAAUAUGAUCAUAACUAUACCUUUUUUCUAUACCCAAUGUAAGAAACAGUGUGAAUCAGUGACUUAUUUUCCAUUUCAUCAUUAGCUCAUUUGUAGCAGUCAGGUUAGAUUUAUUACUUAUUUAUUUAUUUAUUUACAGCAGAGGAGGCAGUUAAGGGCAAAAAAAAUAAUAACAGGAAAAAUAAGUGUAAUACGUAGAACAGAAAAAAAAAAAGUUCUCAUUCCUCAGGUUAACCCGGUAGCAGCGAUGGGCCAAAUUUGUGGCUUUACCGUGUAGCAGCGACAGGCCAAAUUUUUGCCAUGAUAUAAACCCCCAAAAAAGAUGAUACAUAAUCUGAUCACAAAUGCGUUGAUAUAUAUUAUGAAAUGGUUUGCGUGAGUGAUGAUUUUUUCUCAUUUUUCUCACUUAGAGGGACCAUUAAGAAACAUGAUCCCCGCAGCUACCGGGUCAAGGAAUGAGUGAGGCGAGGAAAUGUGAAGUAAGAAACAGUAAAAUAUAUAAGUAUCAUAACCUCUUUUUUCUGUAGCCGUAAAGUAACACAGAAAGCAGGGAAUGUAGUGAUAACAAGAAGUAGAAUAUGUAAGUAUCAUAACCUCUUUUAUUGUAGAUGUAUAGUAACAAAGAGAGGAGAAAAUGUACGAGUAACAAGCAAAUAAAUAUCAUGACCUCUCUCUUUUUCUGUGACCAUAGAGUAUCCUAAGUUUAAUUGAAUGCGAGAUACAACAAUGAAAAGUUUAAGUACCAUAAUAUUUUCUCUUUCUGCAGAUGGAGAGUAACUUAAGUAGUAGUGAAUGUAGGGUUAGUAACAUAAAAACUACUGACCAGAAAGUUAAAGAAUCAACAAUCAACAUAGAACAAAAAGGAGAUAAAGAAAAAAAAAUCACAAACCAUACACAUCACAACCCACUACAGAUAAAA
Eriocheir sinensis (Chinese mitten crab) is the source of this 6127-nucleotide long non-coding RNA. RefSeq lists it as uncharacterized. The record is from RefSeq and is a predicted model, not a curated record. NCBI's taxonomy places the organism in Eukaryota, Metazoa, Arthropoda, Malacostraca, Decapoda, Varunidae. The transcript is spliced from 6 exons.